GACGAACGCUGGCGGCGCGCUUAACACAUGCAAGUCGAACGGAAAGGCCUGCUUUCCCUUGUGGAUUGCGGGUACUCGAGUGGCGAACGGGUGAGUAACACGUGAGUGAUCUGCCCCCAACUUGGGUAUAAGCCUGGGAAACUGGGUCUAAUUCCCGAUAGGACUGCAGGGUGGUGCCUGUGGUGGAAAACGAUUUUCUAGUGGUUGGGGAUGAGCUCGCGGCCUAUCAGCUUGCUGGUGGGGUAAUGGCCUACCAAGGCGGCGACGGGUAGCCGGCCUGAGAGGGUGGACGGCCACAUUGGGACUGAGAUACGGCCCAGACUCCUACGGGAGGCAGCAGUGGGGAAUAUUGCACAAUGGGCGGAAGCCUGAUGCAGCGACGCCGCGUGGGGGAUGACGGCCUUCGGGUUGUAAACUCCUUUCGACCGCGAGGAAGCCACCUGGUUGGAAGGGUGGUGACGGUAGUGGUAGAAGAAGCACCGGCUAACUACGUG
Molecule: ribosomal RNA, 494 nt
Filed under: uncultured bacterium
Lineage: Bacteria
Description: partial 16S ribosomal RNA
Rfam family: Bacterial small subunit ribosomal RNA
Source: RNAcentral